RNAcentral lists this ribosomal RNA (787 nucleotides) under uncultured Funneliformis. RNAcentral's name for it is "SSU rRNA". It matches the Rfam family "Eukaryotic small subunit ribosomal RNA", at positions 327 to 1114 of the family's 1831-position model. Lineage: Eukaryota; Fungi; Glomeromycota; Glomeromycetes; Glomerales; Glomeraceae. The record is from RNAcentral.
GGUAGGAUAGAGGCCUACCAUGGUGGUAACGGGUAACGGGGUGUUAGGGCACGACACCGGAGAGGGAGCCUGAGAAACGGCUACCACAUCCAAGGAAGGCAGCAGGCGCGCAAAUUACCCAAUCCCGACACGGGGAGGUAGUGACAAUAAAUAACAAUACAGGGUUCUUUUGGAUCUUGUAAUUGGAAUGAGUACAAUUUAAAUCUCUUAACGAGGAACAAUUGGAGGGCAAGUUUGGUGCCAGCAGCCGCGGUAAUUCCAGCUCCAAUAGCGUAUAUUAAAGUUGUUGCAGUUAAAAAGCUCGUAGUUGAAUUUCGGGAUCAAUAUUUCGGUCAUGCCGUUGGUAUGCACUGUUAUCAUUGAUUUCUCACCUUCUAAAGAACCGUAAUGCCAUUAAUUUGGUGUUACGGGGAAUUAGGACUGUUACCUUGAAAAAAUUAGAGUGUUUAAAGCAGGCUCACGCUUGAAUACAUUAGCAUGGAAUAAUGAAAUAGGACAUCCGAUUCUAUUUUGUUGGUUUCUAGGAUCGAUGUAAUGAUUAAUAGGGAUAGUUGGGGGCAUUAGUACUCAAUUGUCAGAGGUGAAAUUCUUGGAUUUAUUGAAGACUAACUACUGCGAAAGCAUUUGCCAAGGAUGUUUUCAUUAAUCAAGAACGAAAGUUAGGGGAUCGAAGACGAUCAGAUACCGUCGUAGUCUUAACCAUAAACUAUGCCGACUAGGGAUCGGAUGAUGUUAAUUUUUUAAUGACUCAUUCGGCGCCUUACGGGAAACCAAAGUGUUUGGGUUC